UACGGGGGGGGCAAGCGUUGUUCGGAAUUACUGGGCGUAAAGGGUGCGUAGGCGGCGCGGUAAGUCGGGUGUGAAAUCUCGGGGCUUAACUCCGAAACUGCAUUCGAUACUGCCGUGCUUGAGGACUGGAGAGGAGACUGGAAUUUACGGUGUAGCGGUGAAAUGCGUAGAUAUCGUAAGGAAGACCAGUGGCGAAGGCGGGUCUCUGGACAGUUCCUGACGCUGAGGCACGAAGGUCAGGGGAGCAAACGGG
RNAcentral lists this ribosomal RNA (253 nucleotides) under uncultured bacterium. RNAcentral describes it as "partial 16S ribosomal RNA". It matches the Rfam family "Bacterial small subunit ribosomal RNA", at positions 524 to 776 of the family's 1533-position model. The record is from RNAcentral.